GAAGAAGCCCAAAGCAAUAGGCUUCCUUAACCAAGGGGCUUUGGUCAGACCAUUAGGUUUCUCCAGUGUCGGCUUCAGUGUAGAGGACCUCAGAACUCCACUUACUUCUCACCAGAGCAAAGACAGGACACGCUCCGCUGACAGGACCAGCUGGGAUCGAGGCACAGAUGUGCUCCACUCAGGUGAUCGAAGAGGCAAAGGGUUCCACUGUAAUUACUGGCCUACAAUGUGGACCCAGCUGGGCUGACAUUUUAAUUUCUGUCUCUUUUGUGGCUUCCAUUAUCCUGGGGGCCAAGGCGUUCCAGUUCCCCCAAGACAUGGGAGUCUCUUGAUGUUUGGAUCUUCUUGGAGAAAGAAAAUGCAAAGUGACAGGUUUCGAAUAGACAGAAACAACAGUAGAGUUGUUGCAUCAACAGCACGUCCAGCACAACCACAGUCCUUCUGGGAUGGCCCCGGGUGGGGCAACACCACUUCCUUUAAUUCCCCAUCCACAACAUUUCCAAAGGUGUGGCAAAGAG
Bos taurus (domestic cattle) is the source of this 518-nucleotide long non-coding RNA. Lineage: Eukaryota; Metazoa; Chordata; Mammalia; Artiodactyla; Bovidae. The record is from Ensembl.